This 254-nucleotide ribosomal RNA is filed under the name uncultured bacterium. RNAcentral's name for it is "partial 16S ribosomal RNA". It matches the Rfam family "Bacterial small subunit ribosomal RNA", at positions 524 to 776 of the family's 1533-position model. The record is from RNAcentral.
UACGGGGGGAGCAAGCGUUGUUCGGAUUUACUGGGCGUAAAGGGCGCGUAGGCGGCCACCGCAAGUCGACUGUGAAAUCUCCGGGCUUAACCCGGAAAGGUCAGCCGAUACUGCGGGGCUAGAGUGCAGAAGGGGCAACUGGAAUUCUCGGUGUAGCGGUGAAAUGCGUAGAUAUCGAGAGGAACACCUGCGGCGAAGGCGGGUUGCUGGGCUGACACUGACGCUGAGGCGCGAAAGCGAGGGGAGCGAACGGG